Homarus americanus (American lobster) is the source of this 575-nucleotide long non-coding RNA. RefSeq lists it as uncharacterized. NCBI's taxonomy places the organism in Eukaryota, Metazoa, Arthropoda, Malacostraca, Decapoda, Nephropidae. The transcript has 2 exons. The record is from RefSeq and is a predicted model, not a curated record.
UUUCUUUUACAGAAAAGAUGUAUACUACUCCCACGAGGAAAGAACGACUAUCUUUGAUUAUAUCAUCAAAACGAAGAGGUUCGGGGAGGUUAAAGGCACAGUGUUUGGCAGGAUAUGGCCGAGGCCCAGGCCAGGGCAGCAAGCACAGAGCAGUCCAGGGGAGCGGUAGUCCAGGGCAGCAGCACACACAGAGCAGAGCCGUCUAGGACAGCAGCAUGCACAGAGCAGAGCCGUCCAGGGGAGCGGUAGUCCAGGGCAGCAGCACACACAGAGCAGAGCUGUCUAGGACAGCAGCACACACACAGCAGAGCCGUCCAGGGCAGCAGCCAGCAAGCACAGAGCAGAGCCGUCCAGGGCAGCAGCCAGCAAGCAAGCAAGCACAGAGCAGAGCCGUCCAGGGCAGCAGCCAGCAAGCAAGCACAGAGCAGAGCCGUCCAGGGCAGCAGCCAGCCAGCAAGCACAGAGCAGAGCCGUACAGGGAAGUCCAAGGCAGUAACCAGUAAUCACAGUCUAGGGCAGCACGGCACUCCAGUGUUCAGAACAACAUUUCUAUACAAAAUAAAAUGUUAAAUUAA